RNAcentral lists this ribosomal RNA (440 nucleotides) under uncultured bacterium. RNAcentral describes it as "partial 16S ribosomal RNA". It matches the Rfam family "Bacterial small subunit ribosomal RNA", at positions 338 to 795 of the family's 1533-position model. The record is from RNAcentral.
CCUACGGGUGGCAGCAGUGGGGAAUAUUGCACAAUGGGGGAAACCCUGAUGCAGCGACGCCGCGUGAGCGAUGAAGUAUUUCGGUACGUAAAGCUCUAUCAGCAGGGAAGAAAAUGACGGUACCUGACUAAGAAGCCCCUGCUAACUACGGGCCAGCAGCCGCGGUAAUACGUAGGGGGCAAGCGUUAGCCGGAUUUACUGGGCGUAAAGGGAGCGUAGACGGCGGUGCAAGCCAGAGGUGAAAGCCCGGGGCUCAACCUCGGGACUGCCUUUGGAACUGUCCUGCUAGAGUGUCGGAGAGGAAGGCGGAAUUCCUAGUGUAGGGGUGAAAUGCGUAGAUAUUAGGAGGAACACCAGUGGCGAAGGCGACUAGCUGGACGAUGACUGACGUUGAGGCGCGAAAGCGUGGGGAGCAAACAGGAUUAGAUACCCCUGUAGUC